RNAcentral lists this ribosomal RNA (305 nucleotides) under uncultured bacterium. RNAcentral describes it as "bacterial SSU rRNA". It matches the Rfam family "Bacterial small subunit ribosomal RNA", at positions 335 to 638 of the family's 1533-position model. The record is from RNAcentral.
ACUCCUACGGGGCGCAGCAGUGAGGAAUAUUGGUCAAUGGGCUUACGCCUGAACCAGCCAAGUCGCGUGAGGGAAGACGGCCCUACGGGUUGUAAACCUCUUUUGUCGGGGAGCAAAGAGAGUCACGUGUGACUCAUUGAGAGUACCCGAAGAAAAAGCAUCGGCUAACUCCGUGCCAGCAGCCGCGGUAAUACGGAGGAUGCGAGCGUUAUCCGGAUUUAUUGGGUUUAAAGGGUGCGCAGGCGGAGGUGCAAGUCAGCGGUCAAAUUGCGGGGCUCAACCCCGUACUGCCGUUGAAACUGCAU